GAUGUGGUCCCAACUGUGUUGACAAGAGCUCAAACUGCCCCAUUGACAUCCUGACAAAGCGGUGGUGAUACAGCUUCAACUCUGGGAUCAAACCAUCAAAUCUUCCCUGCUGCGUCUUCUUCAGGACCAAGAGCAUGGCUUAAAAUGUGACUGCUGUUCCAGAGCCACCCAGUGAUCAAAGGCCAAGGCACAUCACCAUGUGGUUGAGCACAUGAUUCUAUUGCAGGAUUCAACAGCAAUCAUCGAAGAGGAUACUGUUUCUACGAAUUAAGUCCAAAGGUGAAACAUCCCCUUUUAUCAUCUUAAUUGAGGGUAAUUAAGAUAGGCAUUUAUAUCAUUGCAGCAAUGGACAGUAGUUACCCAGACUUUAUAGUUUAAUGGCUUGCUUUGUUUUUUAGACAAUCAGAUUUACAGUUAAAAAUUUUUUUUAAAAAAUACCUUAGUGUACAGUUUCUUACAGGGUGGUACCCAACUUUUACAGAUUGUUUCAACCCCUA
This is a long non-coding RNA of Astatotilapia calliptera (eastern happy), 497 nucleotides long. Lineage: Eukaryota; Metazoa; Chordata; Actinopteri; Cichliformes; Cichlidae. The record is from Ensembl.